Molecule: non-coding RNA, 1443 nt
Organism: Paramuricea clavata
Lineage: Eukaryota; Metazoa; Cnidaria; Anthozoa; Malacalcyonacea; Plexauridae
Source: the annotation of a GenBank genome assembly
GCAACGACUAUAAUUUUGAUGCUUGUGAUGUUACUCUGAGUGUAUAUCCACACCGGCCAAGCUUGGAUAUACACUCAGUGUAACAUCACAAGCAUCAUAUUCACCUGAGUACAUAUUACACCAACACAGAAUUCAUGACUAUAAUUUUAUAGUUUAUAUGUCUACUCCAUUCCUAAGAAUUACAAAUAUUCUUGAUCCAAUAUGAUCAGUUCGUGCAUGUGAUAAUCAAAAAAUAUUUCUGGUAAUACUUGGGACGUUCACCCAAAACUCUGUUUUUCUUGUGUACUUGCAUUGUGUAUCCACAGCAGCUAGCCUCCCACUUCUUAUGCCACUGUAGGGCAAGAACUAGAACUGAAGAAGGGAUAUGCUCUCUUCGCUUGGAGAAAACUACAGUCGAGUCACUUCCUGAAAUGCCAUUCCAUGCCUUUUUGAGUUUGAGAGUAUAGGUUGCAUUACAUCAUAUAAAACACACAAACACCAGCACGUGCAUUGCAUGUGAUAAAUAGUUAUAAUUUUUAAGUUUAAUAACAUAUGAACUUAACAUCUCUAAAAAUCAUAUAACUACAUGCAACUAGUGAUAGACUAGUCCUGUAUAAUUAAUAUAGUAAAUUAAGGUAAGAGUUGAAAUGUCGAAAAUUUGAGAAGUAUUGAUAUUUCAAAAUUAUAAGCUUGAAGAGACAUUCAUCAUCCAUUCAGGAUCGAUUUUCUGGAAGCUUGUUUUUUCACGAAAAUUCUUACUGAGUCAUCAAACUCGUUUAACUCAUAGACAUAGCCGUGACGGGCCUACAGAUCGCGGACAGAAUUGGUGGACAACUUUAGAAUUGUUUUGGAAACUUACAUGCAUAUACAGCCUAUACAGUAUAUUAGCAAGGAACCGUUUAUAUAGUCACCACGUACAGGGUUAGAACGAUUAUACGAUCAUAGUAAUGCAAAGAAUUCACAUGAUUUUGGGAAUUCACAUCACAUCAUCAGAGUGAAAUCCAUCAUAUGGCUUCGAGAAGUUAAAAGUUUGUAUAACUACUUAAGAGGGGUCAAGUCUUGCUGAGAACUAAUACCUAUAUCUUGUACUUGUAUUAUGAUUCACCACGGGCAUCUACAAAUUUCUUUAGCCUUCCGUUCACAGGCAGCCAACACGCCGUGCCACACAAUAUAUGGAAACAUAGAAAAUACGCAGGAUAUAGCAUUUGAAAUAGGAACAAUAACAAGCAAAGAAAACAUGUGAGAUUACUCACGUCCUGCGCGAAGGCUGUGAACUCAGAGGAACUAUUAAGAACAGGAUUUUAUGCGUUUCCUUCUGUUGAUGCCAAAGCCAAUGUGACGCACAUCAUAUAGUUGUCACGGCAUGAUUGAGUGACAGAAACCUUUUCGAUGUUCCAGGAAAGGUUCAUUUCAAGUGUCUUUAAAAAAUCAAAACCGAGUGCUAGGAUUUCGGUUACUGUUAGG